RNAcentral lists this ribosomal RNA (535 nucleotides) under Streptococcus sp. W71. RNAcentral's name for it is "bacterial SSU rRNA". It matches the Rfam family "Bacterial small subunit ribosomal RNA", at positions 8 to 524 of the family's 1533-position model. Lineage: Bacteria; Bacillati; Bacillota; Bacilli; Lactobacillales; Streptococcaceae. The record is from RNAcentral.
AGAGUUUGAUCCUGGCUCCGGACGAACCGCUGGCGGCGUGCCUCAUACAAUGCAAGUAGAACGCUGAGGCCUUUUGCUUGCUAGAGUUGGAAGAGUUGCGCCCGGGUGAGUAACGCGUGGGUAACCUGCCUCCUCGCGGGGGAUGACUAUUGGAAACGAAUGCUAAUCCCGCAAUAACAGUGUUUAACACUUGUUAGAUGCUUGAAUAGAUGCAAUUGCAUCACUAGUAGAUGGACCUGCGUUGUAUUACUGGUUGGUGGGGUAACGGCCUACCAAGGCGACGAUACAUAGCCGACCUGAGAGGGUGGUCGGCCACACUGGGACUGGGACACGGCCCAGACUCUACGGGGGGCCGCAGUAGGGAAUCUUCGGCAAUGGGGGCAACCCUGACCGGGCAACGCCGCGUGAGUGAAGAGGGUUUUCGGAUCGUAAAGCUCUGUUGUAGGGGAGGAACGUGUGUGGGGGUGGAAAGUUCCACAGUGACGGUGACUUACCAGAAAGGGACGGCUAACUACGUGCCAGCAGCCGCGGUAAU